RNAcentral lists this ribosomal RNA (253 nucleotides) under uncultured bacterium. RNAcentral describes it as "partial 16S ribosomal RNA". It matches the Rfam family "Bacterial small subunit ribosomal RNA", at positions 524 to 776 of the family's 1533-position model. The record is from RNAcentral.
UACGGGGGGGGCAAGCGUUGUUCGGAAUUACUGGGCGUAAAGCGCGUGUAGGCGGCUUUUCAAGUCAGACGUGAAAGCCCUGGGCUUAACCCAGGAACUGCGUUUGAUACUGUAAAGCUAGAGUGUGGAAGAGGCUACUGGAAUUCCGUGUGUAGCGGUGAAAUGCGUAGAUAUACGGAGGAACACCUGCGGCGAAGGCGGGUAGCUGGGCCAACACUGACGCGGAGAAGCGAAAGCUAGGGUAGCAAACGGG